UAAGCAAAACAAACAUUCAUGAGAAUUAUUAAUCAGAUAGCAAAAUGAAGUAACUUAGCAUUGGAUGGAAAUAUUUUCCAGUAAAUUCCUCUGCUUAAAUGAAAAAUAAAUAAAUAAAGAUUAUCUCAAAAUAAAUAAAUAAACUCUUCCUUCUCUCCUAUAUGUUGAGAUGGCAAUUCAUAAACCUUUACAUUCCCACCCCUGCCAAAGCAAAUCAUUUUUGCCAAGCAUACUAUGUUCUUUUCUGAAUAUCUACUACUCAGUGAACAUGCAGAUAUUAAAUAGAACAAUGUACUUGGCAUGACUUUUAACCAUACACUGGAACAGUAAAUCUUGUAUUUUCUAGUCAAUUUCUUAGCUACAAAUGACUCAGUUCAAAUGAAGAAAAUGUUUUCUUUAGUUCCAUUCAGUUGAAAACAAAAUUAAUUUUAGAAGUGUUUUGUAUGUUAAAAGUAUCAGUAUUCACUCUUUUGCAAAGACUGGAAAUACCAGACCCUCUCAUAACAGCAGAGGCACUCUUAAAACGCGAACUGUUCUAAAAAAAGACCACUUUACACAUACACCUGACAAAGAAAUAAAAAAUAUCGCUUAACUUCCACUUGCAGAUAGGAUUAAAGAAUUACUUUUUUCAAAGUAUAAACAUCAGUAGUUGUAAUUUCAUUUUUUAAAUUAUUGUACAUAUUUAUAGAUAAUAAGAACCUUACCCAGACUGCACUGAAAAGGCAAAAUCAGUUCCCCAUUGCAACUUUGGUACAGGAAAGUCAGUUACAAGAAUGACUUAAAAUUAAAAGUUAAAAAAAAAAAAGAAGUACUUCAAACCCAAACAUGGAUAUACAUCCACCUAGGCUGGGGUGGAACGAGGGAGUAAUCAUCUUGCUCAUUUCAUUACUUUCAUUUUAAAAUUGAUAAAAUAAAUACAGAGGAUGCUCAUAAGUUAGGGAGAUUUAACAAUGCAGCCACAAGCAGUCAUGGUCUUACAAACACCAGAUCAUAUUCCUAUGUUCACAGCAUUAUUAGAUGUAUUGCUUUUAAAUACUGCUGUAUCCUAAGAUCUUCAGUUUUAAGCUCAUGGUAGGUAGAAAGAUUUUUUUUCUUUCUACCUCCCAUAGGAGACAGAAUGGGGGUUUCUUCUGUUUCUGGUAGCUGAACCAGCAUAAUAAAUCUGGGCUGGCAUACAUGUAAUCCCAUGACAUAUUCUUUUCAAUGUUCCUUUAGGUUUGGUUUCCUGACAGCAGAGGUGGCAGCGUGUCACAGAAGGGAAGAAGUUUAACACUAGAUCAUGACCUGGAACCAGUUCCACCAAGGAGGAGUCCACCAGAAGGGUAACCUACAGGAUGCAUCAACUCUGAAUACAACACAAUACCAAGAAGCGCAGUAAUCUACAAAAUUAGGAGUUCAGCACAUUAGAAAGGCCACCCCCAACCUGUCAAAGGAUUAGCAACUUGAAGUGGAAGUGUCACCUUCUUCAGCAUAAAAGAUGCUUCCUCAGGCAUCACAAUCUCUCUACUCUUAACUAAGACAGCAGAGAUCUCCUACUUGAAGCAAUGAAAUCCAAGAGCUAGAAGAACAGUAAUUUAACAAGUAAAAAA
Long non-coding RNA from Numida meleagris (helmeted guineafowl), 1589 nucleotides. RefSeq lists it as uncharacterized. Lineage: Eukaryota; Metazoa; Chordata; Aves; Galliformes; Numididae. The transcript has 2 exons. The record is from RefSeq and is a predicted model, not a curated record.